CCUGCUCCUAGAGGCAUUGCAGGUUUGGCUGAUGUGUCGAGUGUGCAUCAGCAGGUGGUAGAGAGGAGAAAGGCUGUGUUUAUGCUCCGUGUUCUGAUCUCUGAACAUCUGCAGGAUUAGUAGCCUAACAUU
RNAcentral lists this small nucleolar RNA (132 nucleotides) under Meriones unguiculatus (Mongolian gerbil). Its description in RNAcentral is "Small nucleolar RNA SNORA17 (ENSMUGG00000012783.1)". It matches the Rfam family "Small nucleolar RNA SNORA17". Rfam says of the family: snoRNA ACA 17 belongs to the H/ACA family of snoRNAs and is predicted to guide pseudouridylation of the 28S rRNA at positions U4659 and U4598. The record is from RNAcentral. Lineage: Eukaryota; Metazoa; Chordata; Mammalia; Rodentia; Muridae.